This 1183-nucleotide long non-coding RNA is filed under the name Bos indicus x Bos taurus (hybrid cattle). RNAcentral's name for it is "lncRNA (ENSBIXG00000004824.1)". Lineage: Eukaryota; Metazoa; Chordata; Mammalia; Artiodactyla; Bovidae. The record is from RNAcentral.
CUAGAGUAACCGAUGGGCUUUGCAGAUAGCAACUUGAGGAUUCUGCAACUGGAUGUUCUACUAGUCAAGAAUAGGAAUAGGUCUGAGCAGUGGUCCACCUCCCACCCCAAUAAAGGAUUUUACUCAAGGUUGGCUUUAUCCCUGGUUUCUUCAUAUGCCAUUCCCUUGGAGCAGCCAUCUUGAUCCCCUGAUCUAAAUGAAAGGCCUCUCAUUAAAGGCUCUCACUGAAUUGUGUACUUCUUUUUUAUGGUGCCUAUCACAGCCCUGAGGAGAUCUGAUUAACAUUUGUCUCCUUCCCUGGUCUACAAAACCCAUGAUGUCAGAGGCCAUGUCUAUUUUGUUCACUCAGCAAGUAGCACCAAACACACAGUAGGUGCUCAAUAAGUAUCAGCUGAAUGACAAACACCAUCACUGUAAGAAGACUCCUACAAUCUUCACGUUUCUCUACUGUCGCCCACUCUACAGAGUCCCUUUUCCGAAUUUUAUAUAUCAUUCCUCUGGCUUCUGGAUCCAGUGCUUAAGCUUGGUGUGGGAGUGCUUCAGAACCACUGCUGGCUCACGCUGCUGGAAAGUGACGCACCAGUGGAAAGCUUUGGCUUCGGUUCUAACCUCAGAGACUUCACUAGAACGUCUCCUCUGUGUUGUGCUCCCCUACUCUGACUGUGAUUUUGGCGUUCACCUCAUUUCUUGCCUCCACUAGCUCUCAUGACUGUUCAUAACAGUGUUUCCGAUUAACUCCCCCAUGAUCCCAAACAACUUUAUUCCUAAAAAUCUCCCAUCACCACUUAAGUGUUAAAUAUGUACCUUGCAAUAUUCCCAAUAUAUAAAUAAGUGAAGUAUCCCAGAAAUGUUAAUUGCUUCAGGUUAUACAGCAAAUAAGUGGUAAAAACCAGAGUGGGAAACUACUUAAUUCUAAACCCCCUAAGGCCUCUGUUUUAUAUAUCUAAGUUUUCCUAACCAUGCCCAGCACAAUGCCUGGCGCAUAUUAACAGCUUAUUAAAUAUUUGUUGAACGAGAACCCUGAAUUCCUGCUGAAGAUGACUCGUACUCCAUUCUACAUCAGCUGUUUCCCAAACUCUGAAUAUAUCUACCCCCUACUAAACUUUCUAAGUUUGGAGUUCAGUCGCUCAGUCGUGUCUGACUCUGCGACCUCAUGAACCGCAGCACACCAGGCCUCCCUGUC